Coturnix japonica (Japanese quail) is the source of this 2179-nucleotide long non-coding RNA. RefSeq lists it as uncharacterized. The record is from RefSeq and is a predicted model, not a curated record. NCBI's taxonomy places the organism in Eukaryota, Metazoa, Chordata, Aves, Galliformes, Phasianidae.
ACGGGGCCGGCGGCGGCGGCGGGAUCUACCCCGACCCGCCAGGAGGCGCCGCGCCAUAAGGACGGAGCGGGAGCGGCACCGCCCGGUAUCCAUCCGCCACCGGCCGGGACUACAGCCACACAUGGAGCGGGGGGCACGCGCCUGCCGGGACACGUGACCGCGCAACACGCACGUGACCCCGGGGCCGGCUGCGCGCCGUCGCGUGCGGCGCCUCAGGGAGAGACCGGGAUGAGCGGAACGAGGAACGGCAACGAGUGGAGGGGAGCGGGGAGUGGGGAGUGAUAAAGGAAUGGGGAGAGAUAAAGGAAUGGGGCGGGAUAAAGGAAUGGGGCAGGAUAAAGGGGGAGGCUUCGAGCGGGGCCGGGAGACCCGGGGCAGCCGGAGGUGUCAGGGUGUGGAACGAGACUCGCAGCGCCGAAGCAGGCAGCGCUCGGCCUGCAGCCCGGCCCGCUCCGUGCCUCAGAGCGCGGGAUGAGGCGGCGGUGGUACCUGAGGGUGAGCACAGCGCGAGGAGCCGGGCGGGACAUGGGAGGAAUGGUGACAAUGGUGACAAUGGUGACAGUGGUGACAAUGGUGACAGAGCGCGGUGUGUUCCACAUCACAGAGCAGCAACGCGCUGCUAACACGGCUCAUCCCGCCAGCCUGCACCGCUGCUGUCCAUUCACAUCGGUACCUUCCAUAAAGACCUCAGUGAGAAUCUGUCUGUUACCUGGCCUAAGAAUUCCUGGUUGGACUGUGUGGAAGCGAGAGCACUGUGUGCAGAUCAUACCUUCAUCUCACCAGCCUCCUCACUGACACCCAUCAGUGGCCACAAGAGUCAGUAGGUGUCAGAAAGUCUGUUUUACAACAGAAUGGACACGCACAAAACUUACCUGCGACAGCAAAUUGUGUUUUAGUGGAAGAAAGGAGGGUUUGUGGAGCACUAACACCUAAAAACAUCCCUGGAGACUGUGAGAUGGAUGUCAGCACACAGCAGUGCCACGAGGAUCAGCCCAUCUAAAGUACCACUACAUGCCUCCCCUGCAAGAGCCGGCAGGAGGGAAAAAUGGAGAGGAAACAAGAAAACUCCGGGCACAUUUGAGUCAGGACAUGAACUUCACCAGCUCAAUGUAGGAGCGUGAGAACGUGUGGAAGAUGGAAGUGACUGGGAAUGCCAUGAGGAGGAUGCCACUCAGUAUGCUGCUCAGUGCCACCACUUGGCCAGGAAUGCUCCUGGGAACCAUAUCUCCAUAGCCUACCGUGGUCAUGGUGAUGACAGCCCACCAGUAGCAUGCAGGGAUGCUGGUGAACUCCUGCGAGUCUGCCAUCUCGUUCUCAAUGACGUACAGGAGCGGUGCAAACAGUGCGAUGGCCACGCAGAGGAAGAGCAGCAGGAGCCCGAACUCCCGGGUGCACCUGCGGGCGGUCAGCCCCAGCGUCUGCAGCCCCAGGGAGUGCCUGGCCAGCCGCAUGACGUACAGAAUCCUCAAGGCACGGAGUAUUCGGAGGACCAGACCGACUUUGUCCAGGUAGAUGCUCCCAGAGCUGGGCUUCUUGUAGCCCACCGAAGUGGUGUCUACCAGCAAAGUGAUGUAAUAUGGCAGAAUAGCUAUUAUGUCGAUCAGAGUUAACGGUCUCCUCAAAAAUGCAAACUUGCUCUUUGCCUGGAUGAAUCUCAGCAGGAACUCCAACGAAAACCACGCCACACAGACAGACUCCACAAUGAAAAUAUUGUAGCACAUCUGGGAACACUCACCCUGCAGGAAAGAGGAGGAGUUUGUAAUCAGCACUCGGAUAAUAACUAUUUUAGUUGGUACAGUGACAGGAAGAGAGUUUUGUGGGCUUCUUUAAACCCAAAAUAUUAAAGGAGUUGAAUCUGUUGCUAUGGAAAAACACAAUGACAAAUUGGAACGAGUUAAAGGCAAUCUUAGAAAAGAACUACUUAUUCCACAGAAGAUACUGCUUGGUAAUUUCAAGCAUUCUAAAUAGCAAAUAAAAGCUUAACGAGGUUUUACAGAGAAGAAUGUUUUAUAGAAGAAUGCCCAGGAACAACAUUUUCUUUGGACAUAGAACUCGACACGACUGGUUCUUUUGCAGAUACCUCCUCUUACAGCACCAGUCCAAGUUGUCUUCCUCAAUUCCCCAGUAGAGCAGCUCCUCUUGAAAGGACAGCGCGCACAUCUCACGCAGGAGCCGAAGU